This 265-nucleotide ribosomal RNA is filed under the name uncultured archaeon. RNAcentral's name for it is "partial 16S ribosomal RNA". It matches the Rfam family "Archaeal small subunit ribosomal RNA", at positions 717 to 982 of the family's 1478-position model. The record is from RNAcentral.
AGUCACUGACAUUAGAUACCCGUGUAGUCCAGGGUGUAAACGCUGCAGACUUGGUGUUGGGAACCCUUCGGGGGUGCUCAGUGCCGGAGAGAAGUUGUUAAGUCUGCUACUUGGGGAGUACGUCCGCAAGGAUGAAACUUAAAGGAAUUGGCGGGGGAGCACCGCAACGGGAGGAGCGUGCGGUUUAAUUGGAUUCAACGCCGAAAAACUCACCAGCAGCGACUGUUACAUGAAAGUCAGGUUGAUGACCUUACUAGAUCUUCAG